This 458-nucleotide ribosomal RNA is filed under the name uncultured bacterium. RNAcentral's name for it is "bacterial SSU rRNA". It matches the Rfam family "Bacterial small subunit ribosomal RNA", at positions 45 to 518 of the family's 1533-position model. The record is from RNAcentral.
UGGAUUAGGCAUGACAAGUCGAACGCCGAUAGCAAUAGUCGGAGUGGCGACGAAGGGUGGAGGAACACGUGAGUAAUCUCGCCCUCGAGUUGGGAAUAGCGUACCGGGAAACUGGAAUUAAUACCGAAUAACAUUGCGGGACCGCAUGGUCCUGCACUUAAAGCAGCAAUGCGCUCGAGGAGGAGCUCGCGUCCCAUUAGCUAGUUGGUGAGGUAACGGCCCACCAAGGCCAUGAUGGGUAGCUGGUCUGAGAGGACGAUCAGCCACAGUGGGACUGAGAACUGCCCACACUCCUACGGGAGGCUGCAGUCGAGAAUUUUGGGCAAUGGGCGAAAGCCUGAACCCCAGCAAUGCCGCGUGCGGGAUGAAGGUCUUCGGAUUGUAAACCGCUGUCAAGAGGGACGAAAUUUGACGGUACCUCUGAAGGAAGCCACGGCUAACUACGUGCCAGCCGCCGC